GGAAUUUUGGACAAUGGGCGCAACUCUGAACCAGCCAUGCCGCGUGCAGGAUGAAGGCCCUAUGGGUCGUAAGCUGCUUUUGUACGGGAAAAAACCCCUCUACGUGUAGAGGGCUGAUGGUACCGUAAGAAUAAGGAUCGGCUAACUCCGUGCCCGCAGCCGCGGUAAUACGGAGGAUCCAAGCGUUAUCCGGAUUCAUUGGGUUUAAAGGGUGCGUAGGCGGAAUAGUAAGUCAGUGGUGAAAGCCUGCAGCUUAACUGUAGAAUUGCCAUUGAUACUGCUAAUCUUGAGUUUAGAUGAAGUGGGCGGAAUGUGUCAUGUAGCGGUGAAAUGCUUAGAUAUGACACAGAACACCGAUUGCGAAGGCAGCUCACUAAACUAAAACUGACGCUGAGGCACGAAAGCGUGGGGAUCAAAC
RNAcentral lists this ribosomal RNA (418 nucleotides) under uncultured bacterium. RNAcentral's name for it is "bacterial SSU rRNA". It matches the Rfam family "Bacterial small subunit ribosomal RNA", at positions 358 to 773 of the family's 1533-position model. The record is from RNAcentral.